This 376-nucleotide unclassified non-coding RNA is filed under the name Hevea brasiliensis (rubber tree). Lineage: Eukaryota; Viridiplantae; Streptophyta; Magnoliopsida; Malpighiales; Euphorbiaceae. The record is from RNAcentral.
GAAUUUAACUCAGUCCAUAUGGUUCCAGAGAUUAUAAUAACAUCAACUUACAAAAGAAUACAUUGAACAAAUUACAAUUUCUUUUAUGACUCAAUGGCAAGCACCUACAAAAAUCAAAAUCCUUUGCAAACUAUUUACACUGAAAUGAGAAAUAACUCAAUUUGGAAGGGAAGAUUUUUUUAAAAUAAUAAUAAUAACUAUACUGGGAAAAUAUUUCCUCCCUAAAAAUUCAAUUUGUGGUUGCAUCAUUAUUAGUGGAUUUGUUAGACCACUGGAACUCUAUUUCCAAAUUCCUUGAGGGCCCACUUUUGCUUUCAGGCAACAGAGUAUACUCUCCAGCAACUGCUCCUAGCAUUACAACCCGAUCAAUCUGGAU